GGCUGGUCUGAAGGUAGUGAGUUCUUUCAAUUGAUUGUUCACAGUCAGUUAGAGAUCAAAUUCCUUGUUCUACUCUUUCCCCCCCUUCUCACUACUGCACUUGACUAGUCUUAA
This 114-nucleotide Y RNA is filed under the name Propithecus coquereli (Coquerel's sifaka). Its description in RNAcentral is "Y RNA (ENSPCOG00000000599.1)". It matches the Rfam family "Y RNA". From Rfam's summary of the family: Y RNAs are components of the Ro ribonucleoprotein particle (Ro RNP), in association with Ro60 and La proteins. Lineage: Eukaryota; Metazoa; Chordata; Mammalia; Primates; Indriidae. The record is from Rfam by way of RNAcentral.